Molecule: long non-coding RNA, 1046 nt
Organism: Rhodamnia argentea
Lineage: Eukaryota; Viridiplantae; Streptophyta; Magnoliopsida; Myrtales; Myrtaceae
Exons: 2
Source: RefSeq, a predicted model, not a curated record
GCACAAACUUUAGUUGUCGCUCGUCGACGACAUGCAUCGCCAUGUUCGAUUUUUUUCAAGAGAUCGACCAAGAUCAUAUAAAUACGUGGUGGGUCCACGCGGUUUCGACCCUUUGUCAUGCCAUGCCAUGAAGGCUGAGCUGAACUCGCGGGCCGGAGAAGAUGCUAGCAAGUAAAUUUGGGCCUCGUCCCAUUGGAAAAUGACAAGCGGCGGCAGUGCUCGAAGGAGCGCCGCCGCUUGUGGGCGCGCACGGUCACUCUUCAUUCGGCCUUCACGAAGCAGAGUGGCUUCGUCGUAGCCCUCUCCCUCCCUCCCUGACCAAGUUCCGAUAGCCGGCGUCCAGCAGAGAUAACAUCGUUUAGACCAGAACUGCAGAAGUGGCUUUCCUAGCUUUGGGAGCUGCGACAUGGCAAUUGGCCCAGGACUUGAUUCUCUUGUAGAUUGUACGUCUCUUGACCAUCCUCUUAAGAGACAUACAAUCUCAUAUGCGCCCAAAGUGAUUCUCUUGUAGAUUUCAUGUCUCUUGACAAUCGUCUUUGGAGACGUACAAUUCUCAUAUGUAAAGACGAGGGCAAGAAACCCAAAGUGAUGCGAGUUGAAGUGCAAGACUUGGCCAUUGAGGUAGGCUUAGGAUGAUGAUCCGUUAGCUGUGGUCCUUGCUUCACCAUUGAGGAAAUGACAGGUCCAUUCCGAUUGAUCUCAUAUGCUUGGAUGAACAUUUUGCUACACAGUUCACAUAGCCUUGGAUGGGUAAAAUGCUAUGCAAGAAAAGUAAUAUCAAUAUGCUUGUUGAAGAUCGACUGGCUAGCAAAUGAAAAUCGUAGAGGCAUAUGUGGCGCUUUCCUGUUUAUCACCGACUCAUGAACUUGCAUUGUUCAUAGCAGCCUGGCUUAUGGUGUGGUCGGCUAUUUUUUUAGGUGGGCUUUGUGUUUCGAGCCUGUCCUCCUUUGUUACUUUACACCAUGGGAUGUUAAGUUGUUAAUCUGUUGAUGCUAAAAUGCCUAAUGUCAACAGGGAUAUCUGCUCUGCCUAUGGAUUUCCCGCUC